Molecule: ribosomal RNA, 253 nt
Filed under: uncultured bacterium
Lineage: Bacteria
Description: partial 16S ribosomal RNA
Rfam family: Bacterial small subunit ribosomal RNA
Source: RNAcentral
UACGUAGGGGGCAAGCGUUGUCCGGAAUUAUUGGGCGUAAAGAGCGUGUAGGCGGUCCGGUAAGUCGGCUGUGAAAGUCCAGGGCUCAACCCUGGGAUGCCGGUCGAUACUGCCGGACUAGAGUUCGGAAGAGGCGAGUGGAAUUCCCGGUGUAGCGGUGAAAUGCGCAGAUAUCGUAAGGAAGACCAGUGGCGAAGGCGAGUCUCUGGACAGUUACCGACGCUGAGGCACGAAGGCCAGGGGAGCAAACGGG